UACGUAGGGUGCGAGCGUUAAUCGGAAUUACUGGGCGUAAAGCGUGCGCAGGCGGCGCGUUAAGACAGGUGUGAAAGCCCCGAGCUUAACUUGGGAAUUGCGCUUGUGACUGGCGUGCUGGAGUGUGGCAGAGGGAGGUGGAAUUCCACGUGUAGCAGUGAAAUGCGCAGAUAUCGGGAGGAACACCAGUAGCGAAGGCGGCUCGCUGGGCCAUUCCUGACGCUGAGACGCGAAAGCUAGGGGAGCGAACAGG
This 253-nucleotide ribosomal RNA is filed under the name uncultured bacterium. Its description in RNAcentral is "partial 16S ribosomal RNA". It matches the Rfam family "Bacterial small subunit ribosomal RNA", at positions 524 to 776 of the family's 1533-position model. The record is from RNAcentral.